AUGGUGAAGUGGGCUGACAUUUGCUUGCCAAAGGACCGAGGUGGGUUGGGCAUCCCUGCAUCUCGCCGGAUGAACGUUGCACUUAUGUUGCGUUGGGUUUGGCGGAUCUUGCGGGGAGAUGGGGGUUGGCUGCAGCUGGUUGAGUCCAAGUACUUGCAGGGCCAACCCCUCAUGGCUUGCUCACACUCGGCUGGGUCCCAGUUCUGGAAAUCUAUUAUGGCCAUCAAGGAAGAGAUUAGGCUGGGUUUGCGUUUCUCGGUUUAA
Molecule: ribosomal RNA, 264 nt
Filed under: Triticum aestivum (bread wheat)
Lineage: Eukaryota; Viridiplantae; Streptophyta; Magnoliopsida; Poales; Poaceae
Description: partial small subunit ribosomal RNA
Source: RNAcentral